Molecule: transfer RNA, 72 nt
Filed under: Albula glossodonta (roundjaw bonefish)
Lineage: Eukaryota; Metazoa; Chordata; Actinopteri; Albuliformes; Albulidae
Description: tRNA-OTHER
Source: RNAcentral
CUGCCUGUAGUCUAGUGGCUAAAGCACAUGACUGGGGCUCUGAGGUUGGUGGUUCAAACCCCCCUGAGCAAG